This 554-nucleotide ribosomal RNA is filed under the name Colletotrichum theobromicola. RNAcentral describes it as "eukaryotic LSU rRNA". The stretch from base 204 to 357 matches the Rfam family "5.8S ribosomal RNA". The record is from RNAcentral. Lineage: Eukaryota; Fungi; Ascomycota; Sordariomycetes; Glomerellales; Glomerellaceae.
UCCGUAGGGUGAACCUGCGGAGGGAUCAUUACUGAGUUUACGCUCUACAACCCUUUGUGAACAUACCUAUAACUGUUGCUUCGGCGGGUAGGGUCUCCGCGACCCUCCCGGCCUCCCGCCUCCGGGCGGGUCGGCGCCCGCCGGAGGAUAACCAAACUCUGAUUUAACGACGUUUCUUCUGAGUGGUACAAGCAAAUAAUCAAAACUUUUAACAACGGAUCUCUUGGUUCUGGCAUCGAUGAAGAACGCAGCGAAAUGCGAUAAGUAAUGUGAAUUGCAGAAUUCAGUGAAUCAUCGAAUCUUUGAACGCACAUUGCGCCCGCCAGCAUUCUGGCGGGCAUGCCUGUUCGAGCGUCAUUUCAACCCUCAAGCUCUGCUUGGUGUUGGGGCCCUACAGCUGAUGUAGGCCCUCAAAGGUAGUGGCGGACCCUCUCGGAGCCUCCUUUGCGUAGUAACUUUACGUCUCGCACUGGGAUCCGGAGGGACUCUUGCCGUAAAACCCCCAAUUUCCAGAAGGUUGACCCUCCGGUCCAGGCUCCUAAGGAACACAAUCC